Molecule: ribosomal RNA, 253 nt
Filed under: uncultured bacterium
Lineage: Bacteria
Description: partial 16S ribosomal RNA
Rfam family: Bacterial small subunit ribosomal RNA
Source: RNAcentral
UACGUAGGCAGCAAGCGUUGUUCGGAGUUACUGGGCGUAAAGGGUGCGUAGGCGGUCCUAUAAGUAUGGUGUGAAAUCUCCCGGCUUAACUGGGAGGGUGCGCUAUAGACUGUGGGACUAGAGUGUGGGAGAGGAAAGUGGAAUUCCUGGUGUAGCGGUGAAAUGCGUAGAUAUCAGGAGGAACACCGGUGGUGUAAACGGCUUUCUGGACCAUAACUGACGCUGAGGAGCGAAAGCGUGGGGAGCGAACAGG